AGGGAAAGUUGAAAAGAACUUUGAAGAGAGAGUUCAAGAGUACGUGAAACCGUUCAGGGGUAAACCUGAGAAACCCAAAAGAUCGAAUGGGGAGAUUCAUCGUCAGCUCAUUUUGUAUAUGUACGAGUUAUGAUGCGAGUUACUCUUGAGUAUUGCUUGUACGUACUUGUACAUUUAUUUGCAAGAUGUUGUCGGCGUGCACUUCUCCCCUAGUAGGACGUCGCGACCCGUUGGGUGUCGGUCUACGACCCGAGUGGGAGCCUUUAAUAUUUUAUUAUAUUAAAGACCCUUGGUGUUUCUGACCGGCUGCCCGGCGGUACUCGUAUGGUAUUUAGCCGCAUUUAUUUGCGUCCAUGUCUGUCGCAAGCGAGGCUAAUUUCUGGUAGUACGGACCUAGUGCCGUCGCUGGAGUUGGCCAGCUGUUGGUUGUACAGAAUUCUAGGACUGGCUAAAAAUAAUUACCGGUCGGCGAUGCUACUGCUUUGGGUACUUUCAGGACCCGUCUUGAAACACGGACCAAGGAGUCUAACAUGUGCGCAAGUCAUUGGGAUUUUUUUAAAAUUAAACCUAAAGGCGUAAUGAAAGUAAAGGUCGUCCUUGCGUCGACCGAGGGAGGAUAAGUUGUGUUAAGAUACAGCUUCGCACUCCCGGGGCGUCUCAUUCUCAUUGCGAGAAGAGGCGCACCUAGAGCGUACACGUU
RNAcentral lists this ribosomal RNA (700 nucleotides) under Allorhogas sp. ALW-2011. RNAcentral's name for it is "eukaryotic LSU rRNA". It matches the Rfam family "Eukaryotic large subunit ribosomal RNA", at positions 356 to 810 of the family's 3401-position model. Lineage: Eukaryota; Metazoa; Arthropoda; Insecta; Hymenoptera; Braconidae. The record is from RNAcentral.